Molecule: long non-coding RNA, 3175 nt
Organism: Corvus hawaiiensis (hawaiian crow)
Lineage: Eukaryota; Metazoa; Chordata; Aves; Passeriformes; Corvidae
Exons: 5
Source: RefSeq, a predicted model, not a curated record
CGGCGCUCGGUGGGGGCGGCAGCGGCCGGGCCGCGCUCCCCUGCCGGGCCCAGGUAAAGGAGUUCAUCCUACUGGAAUAUCCCUGGGGCUGCCAGCGAGGAACUCUUGAGCUGCCCGAACACAAAACCAGAUGCACACGUUCUCCAUGGGAUCAGUGUGCUCUGAUGGGUGAAGCUGCUCCAGCUCCACGGAACAGGGACACAGAGCAGCCCCAGCACAGGCAGAAGGCUCUGAAGUGACACCGGGCUGACGGGGAACAGCGUUUGUCCCAGGAUUAUCAUCAGGCCCCUCACAACCACAUUUACACUCACGCUGCGUGGAUGGGGACUUGUUGACAAUUCCCUGAAUUCCAAUUUGGAAGGAAAAGUUUUGUGUCUGACCUUUUAUCUCCAAUGCUGUGGGUCUGCCUGCCUUGCUGACAUGUCUUCGAUCCAUCCCAUUCCCUCCAUUUCAGUUACAGAUGAGGAAAGCUAAAGUAGCAACGCUGCUCUUUUCUCUGUUUUGCUUUUGGCUUACAGUGUUAUCAAGCGAUCCUGGGUUUAGCUUUUGCCUUCACUGCUCUCAUAAUGGAUGACUGAUAAGGAAUGAACUUCUCUCACUCACAACUGCUCCAAUACGAAUUUUUAAAAUCCCUUUGGACUGAACAAAUGCAGAAGAUAUUAUUGACAAUUUUCAAAUGACAUAAUAAAUCUUAAUAAGGUUUUUCAUACAUAUGUACUCACAAAGUCAGAGCUUUAUCUGAACAUAAUCUAAAUGCUCUGAAAAUUUCCAGAGGUCUCACAAGUAUGAAGACACUUUUCUCAAAGUCACAGGAGGAUUAAAAGUGAGAGACAAAAAGACAUUACCAAGAAACCAGCUGGGUACUAAGUUCCCUUGGAAGGAUUUAGCAAUGACAGCACUCCAGUCUAAAAACUGGUAGCUGAUAAAGGCAACCUAGAUAUAGGAAUGGAACCAAGGGAUGGCUUGACAAGAAGCAACCCAGCAAGUUCUGACUCUGCUGUGAUUUUCUUCCUGCCCCCUUCCACCCCUCAAAAAAAAAAAAAAAAAAAGCACCAAGUUAUUUCAGAUGUAAGCACCUUAAAUAAAUGGCAUCUGUCCUGAAGUCUUGUAAAACAAACUGUAGCUCUCUAGUGGGAAUGUUGAAAUGUUGACAAGCCCUUCUGUGUAGCAAUGCAAUGCUGCCCCCUCAGAGAACAAAGCAAAGCUCCUGGGAAAUAAUUAAAAAACAUUUUGCUCAGCUUGUGAUGCAAAUACAGACUUUUCAGGUUCUGCAGAAAUAAGCCGGAAACCCACAGAAUAUCACCAAAACAGACUAAGGUUCUCUGCUAUGGUGAUGUUAUUUAUGGUCAUCCUGGUGUCACACAAGCAGCCUUGUGCAGGGAAAUCCACUGGUGGCAGCACAAUGUUGUUUUCAGCAAACUUACUCUUUCCCAAAGAAGCUGUGUGUGACUGAUCUGUGAAGCAACUGCUGAGUUACAAUGCCACAAGUAACUUGGAAUUGCUGUCUGUUUGUGUUCUCUGAUAUUUAGGAUUCCUCUUCACAUGGCAGCAUAUGAUAUGGAUGCCCAGAAAGAUUCAGUGCUAUGAUGCUGUAAUGAUAAAGAUCUGAUCGUGUCAUUCUUUGAUGGGGUUUCCACCAGUUUCUGAACUUAAAGGUAUUCAAUUAUUCUGUUUUUCUCAAGGGUAAAAUAUGCAUGUAACCCUCAGUUAGCACUAAGAACAAUGUGCAAGCCUUCACACAUCAAAGACGUGACUAUGUGCUUUUGUCUAUCCUAAUGGUUUGAGAGAAAAUCUUGAUAAAUCAACAUGAGAUUUCUUUUUAUUUUCCCUUUAUUCCCCUUUUUCUCUUUCUUACAUUUUGUUGUCUUGAUUAGAUAAAAAAUAAUAGGGGGCUGUCAAUCUGUUUUCUUUUCAGGUCUUCUCUGUCUCUUUCUAAAUUAGUUACAGCCUGCUUUUUGUAGCUUUAUAGCCAGCCUGACCUAAUUUAAUUACCAUGACUUGUGUGGCUUAAAGAUAAAUAGUUUUAUUCAGCCUGCUUACUUUUGUAUAAGUUUUCCCUUUCACACAUCUCUCUAUAUUUUGGCAUUCAGAAUUCUUGUCCACUGUUCUUCAGUAGGUUAACACAAGGUUGGUUUAUAGCAUUGUCCAUAUUUUCACAAAAAGGCCUUUGAUGCUUUUAGUCCCUGCUUUGCUCUGAGUCUGGGGGCCUUUGUGGGACACAAAUGAACAUUAGCUGGGGCUCAGAAGCAGGGGAUGGGAAAUACAGCCCUAUGCCCAUCAUGAGGGAGAAAUCCUCAAAGCUUGCUUCUAUACUGCUACUGUGGAAGAUUUUUUCUUAUUUAAGGAAAAUACUUCAGAAAUCAAAGCUUGAGACUUCUCUACAGAUUAUGGUAAACACAUAAGUGGCUAGAUGAUCUCCAGUAACAUAACUCUGUAGCAUGAAAACGCCUUCAAGCUGUCCAAGAACACAAAUGCUUCACACAGAGAUGUCCCUAAUGCCCAGAUCCCUGAGGUUCAUGCCAAGAUCACUGACAAAUCCUUCUACCACCCUGUUGGCCACCUUUGAAUACAGAAAGCAAGCAACCAGCUUAUAAACUCCAAAAUCCAACUUAAAAGAAGGGAUCAUCAUAUUUCUUUCUCUCUGUCAAAAUGGAGAAAGAUUGACCAGGAAACCCUGAGUGAUGCUAAAUAGUUGUUAAAAAAUCUGAUUCAGGUUCUCUUACAUUCCUAUAAUCAGUGCUUUUUUUAAAAAAUCUCCCAUAUAACACUCAGAUGAAUGUACAGAGACUAUCUCCAUGUAAAUAUGUUGUGUUUUGCCUAUGAACACUAAAUAUAUUUUGCAGUAGUUUAAAAAUAAUUCUUUGGAGGCUUACUGCAGUUCUUAAUACAAAUGUAGAUACAGAAUUUAGUGUCAUUUCUUGUGUCAUCUGUAUGUCAUCUUAAUGCUGCUAAAAGAGCCUCAUGCCCUUUUUUAAAAAUGCAUCUACUUGGGUUUAAAAAGAGUAUAUCUGAGAUCAUUAGCAAAGGAAAUGGCCAGCAUUAAUUCUAAACUACCACAGGUUUUAACAAAAAGAACAAACUGUGAAACUUAAAAGGAAACCCAACAAAUGUGUUUUAUGAAUACAUGUGCAAAAUUUUGGUUACAAUCAAAUAAAAUACUGAUAUGUGCCAGACA